UUUUCAUAGCUGAAAAAGCUCCUUCAUAUGUUGCGGUAGAUGCACGAAGUGUCAAGAUAAGACGUAAAAAUCUAUCUACUGGUGAAUAGACUCCGACUUUCCCCUGUUAUCACCAUUCCUUGACAUUAAUAACCAAGAGUAGAAAUAUUCUUGAAAUCUGGAUGAGUAGGAAUAUCUAGGCCAUAAUGCUAUAAUUCACACUUCAAACAAAUUUAUCUUCUUUCAAAAAUCUCCAGGAUAGAAUUUUUCAGCAAGCAUAAAUGGUCUGUAACCAUCUCUAGGAUUCAAUGAUGUACUCAAAAUGAGAAGCUCUGUUGCUUGUUCACUAAACCUAAUGUUUAACUCCUGCAAUCAUUGAUCUGUGCGGCUGUGCCAAAGGCAAAUUUUUCUACUCUAUAAUAGUAUAAUGAUGUUCCAUUGUAACUGUUUGUCUUUGUUUUCAUUGUUGCCGAAGAGAUUUCAGUACAUAAAAAUAUGGAGCAGCCAUGUCAGGUAUGAAGAUACUGGGUGGAACAUCACUUAUUUGAUGCUUGAUGGCGCUUUUAAAUUUGAGAAGGAAUUUACAAGGUAUGAAUAGGAAGAUGACAAAUUUCUUAGUUACUUUAUGGAGAAAGAAAGUGGAAAAAAUAGGAUUGGACAACCAAACUCUAUUGAUUCAUUCGACAUCUGUUUUUGUCAAGUUUUUAGCUACCUUUUAUGAAGCAACUUUGAAGCUUAGUGGCACACUACAUGAACAAUUUUUAUCGUGAAAUUUGUGAGAUUCAUGGUCAAUUGAGUGAUCCAGUUGAUGCUAAUGAUUCCUUGCUAUCUAUCAUGGCUGCUAGCAUGAAGGGGAAAUUUGACAAAUAUUGGGGAGAUGUGGAUAACAUAAACCCACUACUAUUUUUGUCUGAUUUGCUUGAUCCAAGGUACGAACUGAGGUACUUGAAGUAUUGUUUUGAAUCUAUUUAUGAUGGUGAGACGGUGGCCAAGAUUGUCGUGCAAGUGGAAUCCAUCCUGCAACAUUUGUAUGCUGCUAAUUAUGUGAAAACAGUUGACGUUGGAUCUCAGGUUAUUCGCUCUCUCAGGCUGGCGUCGUUAGGCUUUAGGCUUGGCAUACUCUGGAAUUGUUGAUAAGGAAGAAUGUCGUGAAGAUAUGAAAGAUAAGUGCGAUCCUGACAUACUUAUAGCUAAGAUUUCAGGAUGACUAGAAGUCUGCAUUGGCAGCGUUUAGAUGGGCAGAAGUAAUCCGGAAAAUAACCUGUGCAAGGCAUGGGUAUCUUCUAGCACU
Molecule: long non-coding RNA, 1270 nt
Organism: Daucus carota subsp. sativus
Lineage: Eukaryota; Viridiplantae; Streptophyta; Magnoliopsida; Apiales; Apiaceae
Exons: 3
Source: RefSeq, a predicted model, not a curated record